AAGAGACGUUUAAGACAGCUGGUCAUUAUGCCGACCGGGUGUCCGUGCUAAGUUCGGUAUCAAUAUGGUGACCUCCUGGGACCAGGAGGCCAUCAGGUUGCCUAAGGACGGGAGAACUGGCCUAGGUCAGAAAGGGAGCAGGUCAGGACUCCGGCACCAAUCGGUAGUGGGACUGUGCCUGGGCAGUAUAGCAAGAUCUUGGUUCUU
Unclassified non-coding RNA from Macaca mulatta (Rhesus monkey), 207 nucleotides. It matches the Rfam family "Metazoan signal recognition particle RNA". From Rfam's summary of the family: The signal recognition particle (SRP) is a universally conserved ribonucleoprotein. It is involved in the co-translational targeting of proteins to membranes. The eukaryotic SRP consists of a 300-nucleotide 7S RNA and six proteins: SRPs 72, 68, 54, 19, 14, and 9. The record is from Ensembl. NCBI's taxonomy places the organism in Eukaryota, Metazoa, Chordata, Mammalia, Primates, Cercopithecidae.